This 279-nucleotide ribosomal RNA is filed under the name uncultured bacterium. RNAcentral's name for it is "partial 16S ribosomal RNA". It matches the Rfam family "Bacterial small subunit ribosomal RNA", at positions 506 to 784 of the family's 1533-position model. The record is from RNAcentral.
UGCCAGCAGCCGCGGUAAUACGGAGGGUGCGAGCGUUAAUCGGAAUUACUGGGCGUAAAGCGCGCGUAGGCGGCUUUGUAAGUCGGAUGUGAAAUCCCCGAGCUUAACUUGGGAAUUGCAUUCGAUACUGCAAGGCUAGAGUGUGAUAGAGGUAAGUGGAAUUCCGGGUGUAGCGGUGAAAUGCGUAGAUAUCCGGAGGAACAUCAGUGGCGAAGGCGGCUUACUGGAUCAACACUGACGCUGAGGUGCGAAAGCGUGGGGAGCAAACAGGAUUAGAUA